RNAcentral lists this ribosomal RNA (597 nucleotides) under Triticum aestivum (bread wheat). Its description in RNAcentral is "partial small subunit ribosomal RNA". Lineage: Eukaryota; Viridiplantae; Streptophyta; Magnoliopsida; Poales; Poaceae. The record is from RNAcentral.
AUGGAGCUAGGCCUCACGCUCCAGCUAGCCGCGCCGCCGGCGCGCCUCCCCCACGGGUAUAUUGCAUCGCCGUGCCCGCCAGUAAUGAGCGGAGUCCGGGCGGGGAGGCGCGAGAGUAGGAGGGCUGGGGCUGUGUCGACGAGUGGGGGUGUGAGCUACGCGGUGGUUGAAGAUGGGAAGGUGAACGAGGGGGAGGAGAUGUCGAGGCCGCGGCUGGAGUUCAUCGAGAAGUUAGAUCGGUACCUGGCGCUGCUGGACGAGUACGAGUCGGAGGAGCUGGGGGCGGCGCUCUGCGCCAACCACCGCAGUGUUGAGCCUUCUUCUUCUUCUUUGUGGUUUGCUUUGUUUGUAGCCCGGCUUGUGGGGAUGGUCAGUGGCAAGGCAGAGCGGAACACGGACGUGUCCUUCGCGCUCGACGACGGCACCGGCCGUAUCGACAUCAUCAGAUGGCUGACAUGGAAAAAGUUAUGGAACAAGAGGUACCAGAAGGUGGAGAACCAAAGAAUGUUGCUGCUGUUGUUGCUGACAUUCUCACUAAAGAAUGUCCCUCCAGCACAUUCCUUCAAAAUGUUGGCCUUGAGUCGAGCUCCAAGAUGA